RNAcentral lists this unclassified non-coding RNA (336 nucleotides) under soil metagenome. RNAcentral describes it as "partial contains 5.8S ribosomal RNA, internal transcribed spacer 2, and large subunit ribosomal RNA". The stretch from base 1 to 120 matches the Rfam family "5.8S ribosomal RNA", at positions 35 to 154 of the family's 154-position model. The record is from RNAcentral.
GAUGAAGAACGUAGCGAAAUGCGAUAAGUAAUGUGAAUUGCAGAAUUCAGUGAAUCAUCGAAUCUUUGAACGCACAUUGCGCCCGCCAGUAUUCUGGCGGGCAUGCCUGUUCGAGCGUCAUUUCAACCAUCAAGCCCCAGGCUUGUGUUGGGGACCUGCGGCUGCCGCAGGCCCUGAAAACCAGUGGCGGGCUCGCUAGUCACACCGAGCGUAGUAGCAUACACAUCGCUCAGGGCGUGCUGCGGGUUCCGGCCGUUAAACCCCUUUUUUACCCAAGGUUGACCUCGGAUCAGGUAGGAAGACCCGCUGAACUUAAGCAUAUCAAUAAGCGGAGGA